This is a non-coding RNA of Larimichthys crocea (large yellow croaker), 54 nucleotides long. The record is from Rfam. NCBI's taxonomy places the organism in Eukaryota, Metazoa, Chordata, Actinopteri, Sciaenidae.
AAAUUGUUAUCCUGUAAGUCGCUUUGGAUAAAAGCGUCAGCUAAAUGACUAAAA